AUUUAGUGUUAUCACCGCACUUAUUCAGCAUAAGAUGACGAAUAAGUGGGGCAAAGACACCAAA
This 64-nucleotide microRNA precursor is filed under the name Aedes aegypti (yellow fever mosquito). RNAcentral describes it as "microRNA aae-mir-11898 precursor". The record is from miRBase by way of RNAcentral. Lineage: Eukaryota; Metazoa; Arthropoda; Insecta; Diptera; Culicidae.